This 1343-nucleotide ribosomal RNA is filed under the name uncultured Pelagibacterales bacterium. RNAcentral's name for it is "bacterial SSU rRNA". It matches the Rfam family "Bacterial small subunit ribosomal RNA". Lineage: Bacteria; Pseudomonadati; Pseudomonadota; Alphaproteobacteria; Candidatus Pelagibacterales. The record is from RNAcentral.
AACGUACGCUGGCGGCACGCCUAACACAUGCAAGUCGAACGAAGUAGCAAUACUUAGUGGCAGACGGGUGAGUAACAUGUAGGUAUCUACCCUUUGGCCUGGAAUAACACGAGGAAACUUGUGCUAAUACCGGAUAAGUCUUUACGGAGAAAGCUUUAUGCACCAUUGGAUGAGCCUGCACUUGAUUAGUUUGUUGGUGGGGUAAUGGCCUACCAAGACUGUGAUCAAUAGCUGAUUUGAGAGGAUGAUCAGCCACAUUGGGACUGAGACACGGCCCAAACUCCUACGGGAGGCAGCAGUGGGGAAUCUUGCACAAUGGAGGAAACUCUGAUGCAGCGAUGCCGCGUGAGUGAAGAAGGCCCUUGGGUUGUAAAGCUCUUUCGUCGGGGAAGAAAAUGACUGUACCCGAAUAAGAAGGUCCGGCUAACUUCGUGCCAGCAGCCGCGGUAAUACGAAGGGACCUAGCGUAGUUCGGAAUUACUGGGCUUAAAGAGUUCGUAGGUGGUUGAAAAAGUUAGUGGUGAAAUCCCAGAGCUUAACUCUGGAACUGCCAUUAAAACUUUUCAGCUAGAGUAUGAUAGAGGAAAGCAGAAUUUCUAGUGUAGAGGUGAAAUUCGUAGAUAUUAGAAAGAAUACCAAUUGCGAAGGCAGCUUUCUGGAUCAUUACUGACACUGAGGAACGAAAGCAUGGGUAGCGAAGAGGAUUAGAUACCCUCGUAGUCCAUGCCGUAAACGAUGUGUGUUAGACGUUGGAAAUUUAUUUUCAGUGUCGCAGCGAAAGCGAUAAACACACCGCCUGGGGAGUACGACCGCAAGGUUAAAACUCAAAUGAAUUGACGGGGACCCGCACAAGUAGUGGAGCAUGUGGUUUAAUUCGAAGAUACGCGCAGAACCUUACCAACACUUGACAUGUUCGUCGCGACUCUAAGAGAUUAGAGUUUUCGGUUCGGCCGGACGAAACACAGGUGCUGCAUGGCUGUCGUCAGCUCGUGUCGUGAGAUGUUGGGUUAAGUCCCGCAACGAGCGCAACCCUCACUUUUAGUUGCCAUCAUUAAGUUGGGCACUCUGAAAGAACUGCCUGUGAUAAGCUGGAGGAAGGUGGGGAUGACGUCAAGUCCUCAUGGCCCUUACGUGUUGGGCUACACACGUGCUACAAUGGUAUCUACAACAGGAAGCAAGACUGCGAGGUCAAGCAAAUCCUUAAAAGAUACCUCAGUUCGGAUUGCACUCUGCAACUCGAGUGCAUGAAGCUGGAAUUACUAGUAAUCGUCGGUCAGCAUACGGCGGUGAAUACGUUCCCGGGCCUUGUACACACCGCCCGUCACACCAUGGGAGUUGGCUUU